Long non-coding RNA from Corvus hawaiiensis (hawaiian crow), 351 nucleotides. RefSeq lists it as uncharacterized. The record is from RefSeq and is a predicted model, not a curated record. The transcript has 2 exons. Lineage: Eukaryota; Metazoa; Chordata; Aves; Passeriformes; Corvidae.
CAGCGGAGCGGAGCGGGCGGAGACGAGCAGAAGCCCCAAGGCCGGAGCCCCGGGAGCCGCCCGGCCCUCAGCGCCGCAGCACUGGAGCCCCGGGGCGGGGCGUGUACCUGCGCCGGACCCUCCAAAUGGGAGUGGGAGCGCCAGCACCCCCGGCUCGGCAAAGGUAGUGACGGGCAAGUGCCGGGGCAACGAGGGACAGCAACCCCGGCUCGGCAAAGGUAGGGCCCCAGCAGCGCCGGGGCAACGAGGGACAAAAUCAGAAGAGUUUGGGCACCACCCGCAGCCUGCCAAAGGUAAAACAUGGUAAACAAGGUAAAACAAGGUAAAACAAAAUAAAAUUGGCAAAAAUCA